RNAcentral lists this ribosomal RNA (446 nucleotides) under uncultured bacterium. Its description in RNAcentral is "bacterial SSU rRNA". It matches the Rfam family "Bacterial small subunit ribosomal RNA", at positions 29 to 506 of the family's 1533-position model. The record is from RNAcentral.
AUGAACGCUGGCGGCGUGUCUAAGGCAUGCAAGUCGAAUGCUCCGCAAGGGGCAUGGCAAACGGGUGCGUAACACAUUGGUAACCUACCUUCGAGUCGGGCAUAACUCCGCGAAAGCGGAAAUAACUCCCGAUGGACAUGAGGGGGCACAAGUCAUUCUCAUGUAAAGUUUAUCGCUCGAAGAGGGGCCUAUGGCCUAUCAGCUUGUUGGUGAGGUAAUGGCUCACCAAGGCAAUGACGGGUAGCGGUUCUGAGAGGAUGAUCCGCCACACUGGUACUGAGACACGGACCAGACUCCUACGGGAGGCAGCAGUGAGGAAUAUUGCACAAUGGGGGGAACCCUGAUGCAGCAACGCCGCGUGGAGGAUGACGCAUUUCGGUGUGUAAACUCCUUUUAUAUGUCAAGAAAAUGACGGUAGCAUAUGAAUAAGCACCGGCUAACUCCGU